Molecule: ribosomal RNA, 253 nt
Filed under: uncultured bacterium
Lineage: Bacteria
Description: partial 16S ribosomal RNA
Rfam family: Bacterial small subunit ribosomal RNA
Source: RNAcentral
GACAGAGGGUGCAAGCGUUGUUCGGAAUCAUUGGGCGUAAAGGGCGCGUAGGCGGUUUUGCAAGUCGAAUGUGAAAGCCCAGGGCUCAACCUUGGAAGUGCAUCCGAAACUGCGAAACUUGAAUCCUGGAGAGGGUGGUGGAAUUCCCAGUGUAGAGGUGAAAUUCGUAGAUAUUGGGAGGAACACCGGUGGCGAAGGCGGGUCUCUGGGCAGUAACUGACGCUGAGGAGCGAAAGCGUGGGGAGCGAACAGG